GGCGGGGGAGGCUCGCUAACCCACACGGGAGAGCUCGGCUCCAGGCUUCCCCAGUGCCACGACAGAUAUGCGUCUUUAUUUACCCCAUGAGUUUUGGAGAGCGGACGGAGUAUCCAGAGGAGGUAUCAGAAAUCUCAUUGGAUCCUAAAGACCCAUCAUCCAGGUUUCUUUCCUUUUCCUCUCCAUUUUCCCUCAAGUCGCCGGUCACCUGCCGUUCCCAGAGACUUCCCUGGCUUGCAGGGAUGCUCUUCACCUCGGAAAGCAAAACCACGGCUUUGGGUACUCAAAAAGAGGAAGAGACAUCUUGCCAUGAGCACACAAGUUUGAAUUAUUAGGCUGUAAAUUUCGUACCGUGAUAAAAGCUUCAGCUGUGUUGUUCAAUAUUAAAGUUUUUGGCAAAAGCUUUA
Long non-coding RNA from Columba livia (rock pigeon), 407 nucleotides. RefSeq lists it as uncharacterized. Lineage: Eukaryota; Metazoa; Chordata; Aves; Columbiformes; Columbidae. The transcript is spliced from 2 exons. The record is from RefSeq and is a predicted model, not a curated record.